Molecule: ribosomal RNA, 460 nt
Filed under: uncultured bacterium
Lineage: Bacteria
Description: partial 16S ribosomal RNA
Rfam family: Bacterial small subunit ribosomal RNA
Source: RNAcentral
CCUACGGGAGGCAGCAGUGAGGAAUAUUGGUCAAUGGACGAGAGUCUGAACCAGCCAAGUAGCGUGAAGGAUGACUGCCCUAUGGGUGGUAAACUUCUUUUAUAAAGGAAUAAAACGACGCACGUGUGCCUUUUUGCAUGUACUUUAUGAAUAAGGAUCGGCUAACUCCGUGCCAGCAGCCGCGGUAAUACGGAGGAUCCGAGCGUUAUGCGGAUUUAUUGGGUUUAAAGGGAGCGUAGAUGGGUUGUUAAGUCAGUUGUGAAAGCUUGCGGCUCAACGGUAAAAUUGCAAUUGAUACUGGCAGUCUUGAGUACAGGUGAGGUAGGCGGAAUUCGUGGUGUAGCGGUGAAAUGCUUAGAUAUCACGAAGAACCCCGAUGGCGAAGGCAGCUUACUAAACUGUGACUGACAUUGAUGCUCGAAAGUGUGGGUAUCAAACAGGAUUAGAUACCCGGGUAGUC